RNAcentral lists this ribosomal RNA (253 nucleotides) under uncultured bacterium. RNAcentral's name for it is "partial 16S ribosomal RNA". It matches the Rfam family "Bacterial small subunit ribosomal RNA", at positions 524 to 776 of the family's 1533-position model. The record is from RNAcentral.
GACGGAGGGGGCUAGCGUUGUUCGGAAUGACUGGGCGUAAAGGGCGCGUAGGCGGUUUUUUAAGUGAGGCGUGAAAGCCCUGGGCUUAACCCAGGAAUUGCGUUUCAGACUGGAAAACUUGAGUACGAGAGAGGUAAGUGGAAUUCCUAGUGUAGAGGUGAAAUUCGUAGAUAUUAGGAAGAACACCAGUGGCGAAGGCGGCUUACUGGCUCGUAACUGACGCUGAGGCGCGAAAGCGUGGGGAGCAAACAGG